This 65-nucleotide small RNA is filed under the name Arabidopsis thaliana (thale cress). RNAcentral's name for it is "ATSL191800". Lineage: Eukaryota; Viridiplantae; Streptophyta; Magnoliopsida; Brassicales; Brassicaceae. The record is from RNAcentral.
UUCAGUCUUGAUGCUGCAAAGAAGAAGGCUGUGGAGUCUGAGGCUGAGGGCAACGAAGAAUUGAU